This 340-nucleotide long non-coding RNA is filed under the name Gorilla gorilla gorilla (western lowland gorilla). RNAcentral describes it as "lncRNA (ENSGGOG00000044379.1)". Lineage: Eukaryota; Metazoa; Chordata; Mammalia; Primates; Hominidae. The record is from RNAcentral.
CUCCUUCCCCUGCCCACUUGGCUGCUUUAAGUGUUGCAGUCAUUGAAUUAGCAAAAGAACAUGGAAUAACAGAUGAUGACCUCAGAGUCCGUCAGGAAAUUGUGGAGGAAAUGUCAAAGGUUAUAACGACAUUUUUACCAGAAUGUUCACUUAGGUUGUAUGGCUCAUCUCUGACUAGAUUUGCUCUGAAAAGUAGUGAUGUUAAUAUAGAUAUAAAAUUUCCUCCCAAGAUGAAUCAUCCAGAUCUUCUGAUAAAAGUACUUGGGAUUUUAAAGAAAAAUGUAUUAUAUGUAGAUGUGGAAUCUGAUUUUCACGCUAAAGUUCCUGUUGUGGUGUGCAG